CGGUUUCUGGCGUCAACAGUGCUUGAACAGAACCC
This is a non-coding RNA of Dipodomys ordii (Ord's kangaroo rat), 35 nucleotides long. The record is from Rfam. NCBI's taxonomy places the organism in Eukaryota, Metazoa, Chordata, Mammalia, Rodentia, Heteromyidae.